GAAAAAAACAACUACUAGCUAGAAUAUCUUCUUUAAUAAACUAAUGCAAAUAAAGAAUGACUCUCAUGGAUAGAAUGAAAUCAUUAAUUGGCAUGAAAUAUGGAGAUCUGGCAGAGGUACUCUCUAAAGGAGACUUAAAGGAACACUUUAAUGUCAGAAAUACAUGUUUAUCUCCCUCUCCCCUCUCUGUGGAAAUAAAAAGUUUUUAACUUAUUUUUUGUUAACC
Molecule: non-coding RNA, 226 nt
Organism: Pelobates cultripes (western spadefoot toad)
Lineage: Eukaryota; Metazoa; Chordata; Amphibia; Anura; Pelobatidae
Source: the annotation of a GenBank genome assembly